UACGUAGGGGGCAAGCGUUGUCCGGAAUCAUUGGGCGUAAAGAGCGUGUAGGCGGCCUGAUAAGUCCGCUGUGAAAGUCCAGGGCUCAACCCUGGAAUGCCGGUGGAUACUGUCGGGCUCGAAUCCGGAAGAGGUGAGUGGAAUUCCUGGUGUAGCGGUGAAAUGCGUAGAGAUCAUGAGGAAGACCAGUGGCGAAGGCGGGUCUCUGGACAGUUCCUGACACUGAGGCACGAAGGCCAGGGGAGCAAACGGG
Molecule: ribosomal RNA, 253 nt
Filed under: uncultured bacterium
Lineage: Bacteria
Description: partial 16S ribosomal RNA
Rfam family: Bacterial small subunit ribosomal RNA
Source: RNAcentral